GCUUGUGCUGUGAAGAAGGAGCAGUCAGUGUUGUGAGGGGAAACCACUAAGAAGAAUCACAGAAUAUCCUGAGCAGAAAGGGACUCACAAGGACCAAAAAAUUCCAGCUCCUGGCCCUGCUCUGCACAACCUCAGAACCCCAACUUGUGCCUGAGCAUCAUCCAAAGGCUCCUUGAACUCUUGGGUUCCAGUUCUCAACCAUGCUCUAGAAACCUUUAUUAUGAGUCUGAGAUUGAAGAUAUCUAUCACCCAGCCAAAAAGAUGACUGCACUCUAGUUGGUGAGGACCUGACCAUCCCUGCAGUAGCUUGCUUAAGACAAUCAUAAUUUUAUAUGAAGGUGCUUGCAAGGGCAGUGAAAUACUGAAAAAGAAUCUUCAGGAGUUUGCUAGGGCUGUUGUUUACUUUGUCCUCCCUUCUGAGUGGGUUGGUAAAAUAAAAAUGUGGGUUUGUUAAUCCACUGCAGUAGUUCUUGUGCAGAUAGUGCACUAAACUCAUUUCCAAACCUUUGCACCAUUGCUAAGCACAUAAUAGGUAUUGCCCUUGCCCACAGCUUUCUACUGCCACUUUGGGAUACUUGGAAUAUAAAUGCACUGAAUGAAAACUGAUACUUAAUAUUUAAGAUGCUUUAAAGAAAGGAACUACAUGAAUGUUAAGCAUCAUUAUUAAGCAAUAACAACUGAGUUGCAGGCCAUUAACCCAGUCAGUCAUUAAUCCCAGAGAAGUCUUCUAUGCUGAACUUCUGCUGUUAAUGUUUUAAGCACGGUGCAGAGCAAAUAAUCCAUCUCACAGGUAUAUUGACUCCUUAGUGGGUUCUGCUGUUAUUGUAAUGCUUGCUAUAAUUGAGGUGAAUAUUAUCUUCUUCUCACUGCAGCACUAGUGCUAGCCAGCAAAGGAGGGACAGAAAUGUUUUCUAAGUGUUAAAUCCUAAUAUGAGGAAUAUCUGCAGUCCCCAUGCUCUAAGGAAAGGUACAUCAAAUGAGUGUCUCUCCCUAAAGAUGGGGGCUUGGGCAAAAUGCCAAAGAGGUUCUUUGUCUGCAAAGCAUUUCUCUGUCAGGAAUGCUCUCCUGCCUCACAGUUCUCUCUUCCUGCCAGCACAAGGAAUUUACUCUCUACCCUGCUCUAAAGGCAUGGGAGCAAAGUGUCUCUGACAGGAUGCUCUGGGCCACAACCUUUGCAGCAGCAGGACUUCCCAGCUUGAGGAGAGGGGGCCAGAGUGUCACAUGCACUUCCCAGACAUCUGGACAGACACCCACACCUCUGUCUCUGAGUCAGGACUAGAAAGUUCCAGGUGAUGAGUACAGCAGGCAAGCUCUCUUUUUGGAUGAGGCUGCAGGCAGAGUUUUUUUGUUAAGGACAAGACUUAUGCAGCAGAAAGGGAGAAAAGAGGAGGAUUUCUCCCUUUCUGCUUCAGCACAAUUACCUGCCGAGGAUUUUCCAUGAACAUCUAGAGUUCAGAGAACUGUAUCUGCUCUGCUGUUUUCAGUGCUAUCUGUAACUGAGCUUGUGCACACUGCAGCUUUCCUGACUAUGCAUUUUUUUAAAACGCUCCUCUUUUUUUUUGGAAUAUUCUUUCAUUUCUCUCUCCCCACUAAACUACCAAUUUCAGUUGCAAUAUGUUUAUAAAAUCUCUGGUUCUUUGGGAAGAAAUGUUCUCAAAGGCAAUCUUGAAAUAAGUUUGUUCAGUCUUUAAAAUUAUUUUAUGUCAAUAUUUAAAAAUGAGGCAGGUAAAACACUUUACUUGCCAUUUCUCAUUUUCAUGAAAAGAAGAUCAAUUUGUGCCAUUCUUUGUGCUGCAGUGAAAGCAAGAUGCUUUUUAUUUUCUCAGCCUUUCAUUAAAGGGCUUGACAGGACCUCCUUUGGAGUCUCACACUGACAGCAGGGUGGGACUUUUCCCUGACAAUUUGCUUGACCCAAUAUAGCUCAGCUGAGGAAAGGAGUGAGUUAUUCAAUGACAGAACCCUUAUUUUCACGUUUUUAAGCUUCAGGGCUGACAGAGGCCCGGGGAGGUUUGGAGAGGAGCUGGCAGGGCAGGUCGGUCACUGGGCAGGGGUCACUGAUGCUCUCACUGGUGCCUGGAUGUGGCCGGGGUCACUUCCCACAGGGGACAGAGACUGGGAGCUGUCCAAAAGGCACAGCCAUCCACAAACAGUGCAUUGCACAUAUUCACUUGCUAAUUCUCAUGAUAAAAUUCUUGUCUUUUGUCAAAGAAGCCAAUGCUCAUGUAACAAUUGGUGCCACAACUGAGGUUUUCACUAGAAGUAGUUUUCAAUACAGAAAAAAAAAAUGGUGGGAUGUUUUUAACAGCUUCAAUUAUUAUCUUUAACAUAAUUUUAAAUGUCAUUGUAUUAUUUUUCCUUUGAACCAACUUGUGACUAGGAAUUUGGUUAUGAAAUGCUCUAUUUUGUGAAAACUGAAUGAAUGAGUAUCAGCUAGCUGUCAUGUACUUUUAUUUCCUUGAUCACCAAAGCAUCUUUAUAGAUUUUAAGUGUAUUACUUGUGUUAGAAAUCAAAGAAUAGCCUCAUUAAUCCCAGAAAACUUUUUAAUUUUGACUGACAAAUAAAGCAAUAAUUGUUUAAAGUCUAUCCAAACUUCAAUG
Molecule: long non-coding RNA, 2598 nt
Organism: Zonotrichia leucophrys gambelii
Lineage: Eukaryota; Metazoa; Chordata; Aves; Passeriformes; Passerellidae
Exons: 3
Source: RefSeq, a predicted model, not a curated record